CAGGGUUCGAUUCCGGAGAAGGAGCUUGAGAAUUGGCUACUACAUCUAAGGAAGGCAGCAGGCGUGCAAAUUACCCAAUCCCGAUUCGGGGAGGUAGUGACAAAAAAUAACAAUACCGGGCCUUUUUGGGCUUGGUAAUUGGAAUGAGGGAGAGUUAAACGGACCAUCGAGUAUCCAUUGGAGGGCAAGUCUGGUGCCAGCAGCUGCGGUAAUACCAGCUCCAAUAGCGUAUAUUAAAGUUGUUGCAGUUAAAAAGCUCGUAGUUGGACUUGUGUGCGCUGUCCGCGGGUGGCCUGCGCCCAAAAGGGCGUUUCGGUUCGGCCCCGGUGGCGCCUUGAAAUCUGCAGCUGGGGGGACGUUGGCCUUAACUGGUCGGCGACCGCACGCCGGCUGCUCGGUUACUGUGAGAAAAUUAGAGUGUUCAAGGCAGGCAUUGGGUGCAAUUGAAUACAUUAGCAUGGAAUAAUAAAAUAUGGCUCCUGCCGUAUUCUGUUGGUUUUGACUGGUGGGAGUAAUGAUUGAUAGGGACGGUUGGGGGUGCUAGUAUUGAGCGGCCAGAGGUGAAAUUCAUGGAUUCGCUCAAGACUAACUUAUGCGAAAGCAUUCACCAAGGACGUCCUCUUUAAUCAAGAACGAAAGUUGGGGGAUCGAAGACGAUCAGAUACCGUCGUAGUCUCAACCAUAAACUAUGUCGACUUGGGAUCGGCGGUAGUUUUUUCAUUAAGACACUGUCGGGACCACGGGAGAAAUCAAAGUGUCUGGACUCUGGGGGAAGUAUGGUCGCAAGGCUGAAACUUGAAGGAAUUGACGGAAGGGCACCACCAGGAGUGGAGCCUGCGGCUUAAUUUGACUCAACACGGGGAAACUUACCAGGUCCAGAGAUGUAGAGGAUUGACAGAUUGAAGCUCUUUCUUGAUCACUUCGGUGGUGGUGCAUGGCCGUUCUUAGUUGGUGGAGUGAUUUGUCUGGUUAAUUCCGUUAACGAACGAGACCUCAGCCUGCUAGUGUAGUCGGCUGGAUUGCCUUUGGCGAUCCGUGAUUUCGACUUCUUAGAGGGACAAUCGACGCGCAGUCGAUGGAAGUUUGAGGCAAUAACAGGUCUGUGAUGCCCUUAGAUGUUCUGGGCCGCACGCGCGCUACACUGCUGGGCUCAGCGAGUUUUACUUGGCCGAGAGGCCCGGUUAAUCUUGUGAAAUCCCAGCGUGCUUGGGCUCGCCUCCUGCAACUGGAGGCGCCAACGAGGAAUUCCUAGUAGACGCAGGUCAUCAACCUGCAUCGAUUACGUCCCUGCCCUUUGUACACACCGCCCGUCGUUCCAUAAGAGUGAGGCAUCCGGUGAAUUCUCGGGAGAGCCUGGGCGUGGCCAGCAAUGGUCUGCUCGGGUUUGAACUUGCAUAAACUUGGUGCCUAUGAUUAGGGAAAAGUCGUAACAAGGUU
Molecule: ribosomal RNA, 1437 nt
Filed under: metagenome
Description: SSU rRNA
Rfam family: Eukaryotic small subunit ribosomal RNA
Source: RNAcentral